This 65-nucleotide transfer RNA is filed under the name Gaeana maculata. RNAcentral describes it as "tRNA-Tyr". Lineage: Eukaryota; Metazoa; Arthropoda; Insecta; Hemiptera; Cicadidae. The record is from RNAcentral.
AUUGAGAUGACCGAUGAUAGGUAAUAAAUUGUAAAUUUAUAAAUGAAUUAAUAAUUCUCUCAAUA